UAUUUGGUUGACCAAAAGGUUUGUUUGGGUUUUUCUGUAAGAUGUUAUAGAAAAACCAGAACAAGCUUUUUGGCCAACCCAAUAUAAUGA
This 90-nucleotide microRNA precursor is filed under the name Ovis aries (sheep). RNAcentral describes it as "miRNA (ENSOARG00000024412.1)". Lineage: Eukaryota; Metazoa; Chordata; Mammalia; Artiodactyla; Bovidae. The record is from RNAcentral.